This 865-nucleotide long non-coding RNA is filed under the name Carica papaya (papaya). Its description in RNAcentral is "long non-coding RNA (CPAP_LNC004884)". Lineage: Eukaryota; Viridiplantae; Streptophyta; Magnoliopsida; Brassicales; Caricaceae. The record is from RNAcentral.
UUGGAUUAUUUAAUGAUAUUGCAUAUUACAUACCAGUAAAAUUGGUGGUUGGGAAUGGAUUGGCCAUAAGUUAUAAAAACAAGUUCUUAUAUUCGAACUCUUAUGACAAAAGAUUUAGACGCAGAGAAAUUUUUAAUCUGGAGCAGCUGUCUUGAAUCAUGACUACACCAGAAUAAUAUUAAUGAUGAUGGUGGAAGUUGCAGAAACUUCUAAUCUGGAGCAGCUGUCUUGAAUCAUGACUGCACCAGAAUAAUAUUAAUGAAGAUGGUGGAAGUUGCAGAAACUUUUAAUCUGGAGCAGCUGAAAAGUAGAACUUAAAAGUAUGGACGAAGAAUUUAAAACUUACUUGAAAAGGGACUCGAGCAGGUCUGAAUGGCCCUGCAAACACAAACUUUGCUCUUGGUCCUCUACGUCAGGAAAGGACUGAUCAUCUGAUUGAAGACCGAGUACCGCCAUGGGGCAUUGACAAGCACCUGCAAAAUCAAAAACCCAGAUUGUUAUUCUUUUUUUAUCAAUUCCAAAACUGACGCUAAUUAUCGGCUGCCACGGGCAAGUAUGUUUGGAGUUACUUUCAGUAAUCUCAUUACUUGUUGUUUGGUUAAUUAAUUAUUUUCUUUUCCUCCAGAAACAUAUAUAUAUAUAUAAUGAAUUUGCACAAGACGAUGAUAUACACUGAAUAUAUGACUAAAACACGUUAGUUUAAUUCUCUUUCUCUUUGUUUUUACAGUUCCUCAAACCACCAACUAUUCAAAUCAUUAUAAAUAAAUACUCCAAUUAUUCUCCAAGCAUAUAUCCCACUAACACCAGCGGACCCCUACAUCCCAUUUAUCAUCCAUUUUGUUCGUUUCUCAAUUCUCAUUCCCCC